UGUAUAAAGUGGCGAACGGCUGAGUAACACGUGGGCAACCUGCCCUUUGCACUGGGAUAGCCUCGGGAAACCGAGGUUAAUACCGGAUACUCCAUAUUUGUCGUAUGGCGAAUAUGGGAAAGCUCCGGCGGCAAAGGAUGGGCCCGCGGCCUGUUAGCUAGUUGGUGGGGUAGUGGCCUACCAAGGCAAUGAUGGGUAGCCGGGUUGAGAGACCGACCGGCCAGAUUGGGACUGAGACACGGCCCAGACUCCUACGGGAGGCAGCAGGC
RNAcentral lists this ribosomal RNA (269 nucleotides) under uncultured Atopobium sp. RNAcentral describes it as "partial 16S ribosomal RNA". It matches the Rfam family "Bacterial small subunit ribosomal RNA", at positions 87 to 354 of the family's 1533-position model. The record is from RNAcentral. Lineage: Bacteria; Bacillati; Actinomycetota; Coriobacteriia; Coriobacteriales; Atopobiaceae.